AAAAAUUUAGUUAAUUCAUAACAUUAGCUUGUCAAGCUAAAAUUAUUAAUAAUUUAAUAAUUUUUA
RNAcentral lists this transfer RNA (66 nucleotides) under Eutetrapha metallescens. RNAcentral describes it as "tRNA-Asp". Lineage: Eukaryota; Metazoa; Arthropoda; Insecta; Coleoptera; Cerambycidae. The record is from RNAcentral.